Molecule: ribosomal RNA, 207 nt
Filed under: uncultured bacterium
Lineage: Bacteria
Description: partial 16S ribosomal RNA
Rfam family: Bacterial small subunit ribosomal RNA
Source: RNAcentral
UGCGCAGGCGGCGCGGUAAGUCGGGUGUGAAAUCUUGGAGCUUAACUCCGAAACUGCAUUCGAUACUGCCGUGCUUGAGGACUGGAAAGGAGACUGGAAUUUACGGUGUAGCGGUGAAAUGCGUAGAUAUCGUAAGGAAGACCAGUGGCGAAGGCGGGUCUCUGGACAGUUCCUGACGCUGAGGCACGAAGGUCAGGGGAGCAAACG